CGGGACGGGUGAGUAAUGUCUGGGAAACUGCCUGAUGGAGGGGGAUAACUGCUGGAAACGGUAGCUAAUACCGCAUAACGUCGCAAGACCAAAGAGGGGGACCUUCGGGCCUCUUGCCAUCGGAUGUGCCCAGAUGGGAUUAGCUAGUAGGUGGGGUAACGGCUCACCUAGGCGACGAUCCCUAGCUGGUCUGAGAGGAUGACCAGCCACACUGGAACCGAGACACGGUCCAG
Molecule: ribosomal RNA, 233 nt
Filed under: uncultured bacterium
Lineage: Bacteria
Description: partial 16S ribosomal RNA
Rfam family: Bacterial small subunit ribosomal RNA
Source: RNAcentral